GAUGAACGCUGGCGGCGUGCUUAACACAUGCAAGUCGAACGGAAAGGCCGAAGCUUGCUUCGGUACUCGAGUGGCGAACGGGUGAGUAACACGUGGGUGAUCUGCCCUGUACUUCGGGAUAAGCUUGGGAAACUGGGUCUAAUACCGGAUAUGACGAUCUCUUGGAUGGGGUUGUGGAAAGCUUUUGCGGUAUGGGAUGAGCUCGCGGCCUAUCAGCUUGUUGGUGGGGUAAUGGCCUACCAAGGCGUCGACGGGUAGCCGGCCUGAGAGGGUGUACGGCCACGUUGGGACUGAGAUACGGCCCAGACUCCUACGGGAGGCAGCAGUGGGGAAUAUUGCACAAUGGGCGCAAGCCUGAUGCAGCGACGCCGCGUGGGGGAUGACGGCCUUCGGGUUGUAAACUCCUUUCGCAAUCGACGAAGCCUUUUGGUGACGGUAGGUUGAGAAGAAGCACCGGCUAACUACGUG
RNAcentral lists this ribosomal RNA (468 nucleotides) under uncultured bacterium. Its description in RNAcentral is "partial 16S ribosomal RNA". It matches the Rfam family "Bacterial small subunit ribosomal RNA", at positions 28 to 507 of the family's 1533-position model. The record is from RNAcentral.